RNAcentral lists this non-coding RNA (582 nucleotides) under Pongo abelii (Sumatran orangutan). The record is from RNAcentral. Lineage: Eukaryota; Metazoa; Chordata; Mammalia; Primates; Hominidae.
AAAAUCUGACCAGUCCCAGCUCUUUUGCCAGGGCACACGUUUCCAAGGGCAUGGGCCAGCCACUGGACAGGCCCUCUUCGGGUGAGCGAUGGCAAAAUAUAGGGUCCCUCCUAAGAACAGUCAUUAGGAGAGCAGCAGCUGUGAGGGCUGAUUAGCCUAGAAGGGAACAUUGGAUUUGGCAGCCAAUCCUCUAGCACGACAGAAUUAACACAAAACAAGCACUUUGGAUGAGGGAUACUCAACCUGCACCGUUACUCACUGGAGAGCGUCUCAGUAACCCACAGACCCACACCCCUUCAACUUACCUCAUGUGCAGGGAGCCGGACCAGGACAUGUACAGCAGGAUGAGGAAGAGGAGCACCACGAAGGCAGCCAGGCUCACCCAGAAUGCGAUCACGAUGGAAUCUGUGGGAGGAGGAGAUGCAUCUCAGCGCUGGGUUGAUGUCGACAUAAAGCAAUACUGAGGGGCAGUAAGGAGUCCCAGGGUAUUGUGGAAUGAGGGCCCUGAGUUUCGGUUGUCCUCCAGCCUCUCAGCUGUUACCAUGGGGAAGAUCUCCCAUUAACAAUAACUUUGGGAAAGAA